RNAcentral lists this ribosomal RNA (253 nucleotides) under uncultured bacterium. RNAcentral describes it as "partial 16S ribosomal RNA". It matches the Rfam family "Bacterial small subunit ribosomal RNA", at positions 524 to 776 of the family's 1533-position model. The record is from RNAcentral.
UACGGGGGGGGCAAGCGUUGUUCGGAAUUACUGGGCGUAAAGGGCUCGUAGGCGGCCAACUAAGUCGGACGUGAAAGCCCUCGGCUUAACCGAGGAACUGCGUCCGAUACUGGAUGGCUUGAGGUUGGGAGAGGGAUGCGGAAUUCCAGGUGUAGCGGUGAAAUGCGUAGAUAUCUGGAGGAACACCAGAGGCGAAGGCGGCGAACUGGACAGUAACUGACACUCAACUGCGAAAGCGUGGGGAGCAAACAGG